AGAGCAUGGAUAGCAGUAACUGUCUCUGAGAAGCCAGCCACUCAAACUUUCCAGGCCCAGAAUCAACAUUUAUUUGGAAAAACUUGUUGUUGUCCAUUUUUUUAAAGAGCUCUAAACUUCCAGUGAGUCUUAUGUAGAUCUAUUUAUAUGCCCAUUUCUUUUUUUUUUUUUUUUUUGAGAUGGAGUCUCGAUCUGUCACCCAGCCUGGAGUAUAGUGGUGCAAUCUCAGCUCAGCUCACCGCAACCUCUGCCUCCCAGGCUCAAGCAAUUCUCCUGCUUCAGCCUCCCCAGUAGCUGGGACUACAGGCGCCUGCCACCACACCCAGCUAAUUUUUGUAUUUUUAAUAGAGAUGGGGUUUUACCAUGUUGGCCAGGCCGGUCACAAACUCCUCACCUCAGGUGAUCCACCAGCCACGGCCUCCCAAAGUGCUGGGAUUAUAAGCAUGAUCCACUGUGCCCAGCCUAUAUGCCCAUUUCAUAGGCAAGAAUACUGAUGCACAGUGCACACCACACUUUACAGGCACAAGAAUGAGCAAGUCUUUGGAGGGUAACUAUUUCUUGUGCGAGAAUCAAAUGUACCUGCUGACACUUCUAGUUUUAUCUCUGGUGACAGCAUGAGUGGCUGAGUGAGCAGGAUGAAUCUUGAGCCUGAGGUGUAGACCAGAGCAGGGGCUUCCAGGUGCUCACACCUCUGGAAAGCAAGAGGAACUGGAACAGUUGGAGUUCAAAAUAGGCUAAAAAAUCUCCUGCCGGUCUUCACAGCAGAAUCUCUGAGUGGAGCACACAGCCAUUUUGAAGUUGACCUACAUGGAUGCCAGGGCUCAAAAAUUCUAAUGUGGCCAAAGAAACCUUCAGAGAACUACAGCAAAUUCAACUGAUAAAUUUGUUCUACUCUAGAAAAGACACUGCCAAAAUUCCAGUCCCUACCUAUCAGGGACCUUGGAUAAGUCCCUUCCCCUGCAUGCAUAUCAUCACAGACCAUCCUCAUAUGGGGGUGGGGGGGUGUCUCUCUCCCCUCUUCAUCUGCCUUCCUACCUCCAGGGGCACACCAAGUCACUGUGAUGACCUCACAAUCAUGCCUGGUGAUUAUGAGGACUUAGUGGGAUGAUGCUCUGGGCAACCACAGGGAUUGCUCACCGGUGACUCAGUGGUUGACUCAAAGGCUAGGGGGUGGUUUGGGGGUAGAGGCAGAGGUCCAGUGAGCUGGGCUCCACCCUUUCUCUCCCUGCAGUCACAACUCCAUUUUUAUCUGUGCUAUAUGUUGGAGUCUAGCCAAGAUGUCAUUUGAACAAAGAUUCUGAAAGAUCAAAGAAAAAAGUUUGAAAACCACCAGGACAAUGCUUUCAGGGGACUUUAUCUAAAAGACUGCAACAAUGUAAAGAGAUAUGAUUGCUUUUAUUACUGUGAUAUGUUUAGAGUAUUAUAAAUUUUUUAAGAGCUUCAUAAGUGACAGAAGUGAAGACAUGCUCAUUUUAAUGUUACCAGUCAACUCUGAGAAGACUAAAGGUCAAGGGACAAUGAAAAUGUGACCCUUACCAAGGACAGAAACUCCCAGGAAGCCACAGUUAACUCAAGACUACCAGGAUAUUUGGGGAAGGUUAUCCUUCUGGAAGACCAAAAUUUCUGAUUUGUGGAAAAUUCUAUAGAUAUUCUCUGCCAGACUCCAGCCUGUUUGAAAGAAAAGAAGCUGUUUUGGAGGUUGGGAAGAGCUUUAGAAAAUGCGGCAUCAAGUCUGUUGUCCCCUUUGAAGAAAGCAGCUCUGGAAAAGGCCUAGGACAUUAGUUGCUGCAAAGUUCUAGAUCAUUCUGUGUGAUAAAGAAGUGCCUUUCACCUCCCACUGUGAUUCUGAGGCCUCCCCAGCCAUGUGGAACUAUUCCAGAAACUUUCACUGUUAUGAAGAUGGCUCUCAGUUUUCCUGCUGGAUUCAGAUUCUCUUCAUGACUUAAAACAACAUGAGGAGGAUGAGUCACAACUGUAAGCUGGUGAAAUGCAGAAAGAACCACCUAGGAAUUCAAAUGUCAGCUUAAGAAAGACAGAAUGGCUUAAAAAUCAAAGAUGAGAUGAAGUGGACUGGGGGUCUCGGGAACACCAAGUCACAAAAUCAGCUUACAGUCAGAGGGAACUUGCAAAUGAUCUGAUUCAAGAUACAAAGAAAGGUUUUAGUUCUUGAGGACUUUUUCCAAAUAAAUAUUUAAGCCAAAGCACAAUAUAAGAAAAAGAUACAAGUGGAACAGCUCCUUCAAGCAGUGGGGGAUGUUAAGGAAAUGCAGGGAAAAUCAGCUGAGAAUCCUCCUUCCCACACCCAAGACUCCUGCAACCUAGCUGAGAGCCACAGAACUGGUCCUCUCUCUCCAGCUGUUCUCCAACAUCCCAGAGCCUUAGGUGGGGCUACACUAAGAGGAAGUCCUCCAAGGAAACUCUCAGGAUUAGACCAGUCUUUUUCUGCUAGUGGUCUUUGAUAAGCCUACAUGGUAAAGAGUGGGAUUCACUCACUUGUCUGUAGGAGAUAUGAUUAUGUCUCAAAGCAUCUCCCCCACCUUCUCACACCCACCCAUUAGAACAGGAUGUUAUCUACAGGCUGAUACUUCCCCGCUCCCUCUACCUCCCUUCUAAUACAUGGCACCAAGACACUGCCUAGGACCUAACAAGUGAUUAGCCCCUCCUUCUCCAAGACAUUCCCCUCUUCCUUUUUCUCUUUUAAGCCCAGAGGGCCUGACCCUCUAAUGCCUGUCCCAGGCCACUCUCUCCCUCCAGGAGCCUGCCAAGUUGAACACGAAGUCCUACCACCCCUGCCCUCAACACAGACUUCUCCAAAACAAGUCCACAAACACCAUUCAGGAUGAUUCCUGCUAAGACCCACAGGGUGGGAGUGAUAAAAUUUCCAGUAACAUCUACCAUGAUAUUACUUACAAUCCUAAAAGAGGAAAUGUUCUAUAUUACAUAAAAUAUGUCCAAGGUCCUCCUACAAGUAUGAGUGAAUCCGUGCCUGGUUCUUCUUUGUCUUCUGAUCCUGCCACCUCAUCCCUGUCGUCAUGUGUCUAAGUUUUGCUUUAGAAGCCACCCUCGGUCAAACCUUCACUCUCUUACACAAUGAGCUGGACAUCCUCAGUUUCCCCUUCAUGCUAAAAGUAAGCCCCAUGUUUUGUGCACGUGCCCACACCAUUUCCUCAAGUUCUUGCUCCUAAAGGUAACAGGGGCUGGGUAAGGCACUUACUGCAGAGAUCAAAGGAGACUCGUUCACACCCAGGAGGAGGAAUAUUCUUCCUGUACUACCCCAUUUAACCCUGUCCCCUCAACCCAGAGGUGUCCUCACUGUCCAGCAAGUGCUUCGGGCCUGCAGUUCCGCUGUUACCCUAUUUUGAAUCUCGUAGGCGUGGAAGCAUGGGUUGGCAGGGAGGGGCAGGAAGGUUUGCCCGCCAGAAGAAGAAACGAGCGUGUCAGUAUGUGUGUGUGAGCGCCGCAAUGACAGUGCUGCCGCCACUGCUAUUGCAUGUGCUGGGUCUUUGAAUGUGGCAUCUGUCAGGGCUCAGUGAGGAUGACAGAUGUCUCUCUGCUUUAGGAACAAACAACACAGGCCUGUAGGGUGACAAAAACAGCCUCAGCCCAACCAGAGCAGAGACGUGCAGUUCUCUGGGAAUAAUCAGAAGACAGCAGUGUAGGAGUCCAGAGUCUACCACACACCUGCUCCCCUAAAAAAGCAUGUUCUCAUUAUGAAACCUUAGAAGGCAGCUCCCACGCCAGGGACAAGUAUGAGGGAGCCUGUGUGGCCUCAUUCAUUACCAGAUGAACCAUUCAUUCAGGGAAGUCUUGAGGCAUGUCCAGGAAACGGCACCCCAAAGACUCAGUUAACCCACAGGGUGAGUGCCCAUGGAGAUGGGAGCUCUGGGGGUGACACUGUUGAGCCAGUGGAUCAAGCUUCACCCUGAGUCAACCCUAAUUCUGUGCUUUUCAAAUAAAUGAGCCAUUCAAUUUUCCUGCUCAUUUCUGUAUCCCCAGCACCUAGAACAGUGCCUGGCACACAGUAGGUGCCUAGUGGACAUUUGCUGAAAGAACAAACGAAUGCCAAGGCAAAAAAGGGGGGUGAGAGGCAAAGAUGUAUAAAAAAAGAACUAAGCAGAGCAAAAUGAUAAGAAGAAUGUUAAUAAUAUGAACCACAAAGACAGGAAAGUCAUCUGAUCUCAAUACACAAGAGUAUGAACUCAUUAUGGAUGCUGAAUUAUACUAGUGAUAGUUUAAAUAUUUCUUGGAACUGAAUAUGCACAUAAGAAGAGGCCAUCCCAGGCUUAAAUGGGUGCACAUUCUUGUCUUGGAGAAAAGGAAGAAAAAUAUAUAAAGCAAUAGGUACAAUACAAUGCAAUAGAUGUUCUAGAACAAAGGCCUGGAGCUAUGAUUCCAGGGCAGCCUGCAAAGAUCUCCCAUUGGAGCUGAUGAUUAGCAGGCCUUGAAGCAAGGAUGGAAGCCUGGCAAGAGGCAGGUCAGUCAUCGCAGGCAGGGAUGACUGCUUCCAAGAACUGUGUCUUCUGUGAGCCCAGGGGCCAGAGAGCUGCUGGGUUUCCCAGUCUUUCCAGGCUAUGGCCAAACUGAUGAAGCCAUCCUUGUUUCAGUCUCUGAUUCCUUCAGAGAAGAAGAAAGAGUUGAGUCUAGCAGAGUCUCAUUCUGCCUGGACCCCUGCAGUACCAGGAGAGCACUCCCUCCGCAUGCCACUCUAAACAGAAAUACUCCCCGGAGCACCUGGGGCGACCGGCAUCCUCCGCACUUCCAAGGCCUUCCCAAUUUUGCUUACUUCUUCUCAUCUUCCCAUUCACUUCCCAGAUAUGUUUCUCGGGUCUCCAAAGGGAAACUCAGGGGAGAAACUGAGUCAACCUACUUUGAGUGUCCUUUCCUACCUGGCCCUUUCCACAGCACUCAGCCCAGAAGAGGUGCUCUGGGUGAAACAAAGGAGCAGUCGGAAUCUCUGCAGGCCACAGGGAGGGAGGGACGGGUAGAAUCAAGGAGUGGGGCACUAGCACGGAGGCCUGAGCCUCCUCACUGCCAGGAUGAGGGAGCCGCAAUGAUCUGGGGUCCUGGUAGCUCUGGGAGCCUCUGAAUGAGUGACCCUGGGGCUCUCAGAAGUACUAGGUCAAGGUGCCCUGGUGGACACAGCUGGGCUUAGUCAUCAAGACAUGGGUACAAACCUCAGCUCAGUCACCUUCCAGCUGUUUAAGUCCGAAAGUCAUUUAAUCUCUCUAAGCAUAGAUGUUCUCAUCUACGAAAGGACUAUAAUGCUUGUCUUGCAGGGAUGUUGUUAGAAUUACAUGUGAUGAGGUUUAAAUUGCUCCUAGUACAGAAUAGGCAAUUGGUAAAUGGUAACUCUUUUAACUACUAUUAGUGUAGUAUUAUCAUGAUCGUCAUCAUCAUCAUCAUCGGGGCAGACAAAUCUCAGACCAGGCCUGAGAAUUCCCAACUCUGAAUUCAGAGGCUUUUGCUCCAGCGACAGAAAUGAGAAGGUAAGGCCUAAAGUAGAACAGGACUAGAGGAGGCCCUGAACAGUGCUGGGCGCCCAAACAGGGGACUUCCUCCCAGGGAGGCCUCUGUGCCACCGGCCUGGAGUCUCAUCAUCACCGCCAGCAACAGGGUGACUGGCUGCCCCCUGGAUUUUCUGUGAGCAAAGAACAGGAGGGCAGAGCAGGAAAGCCCGGGAACUAAUGAGAUUCAGAGAGCUUGAAAAUUAGAGGUGCACGAAAGGAGUUUCCGCCUAAUGGCUCUGACACCUCCCACUCCCACUGCAGAGUCACUGCAAGGAGGCGAGUGCAGGAGCAAGAGGGGAUCCGUAGGUCUGCUGGUCCAGGUCACUGCUCUCUCCAGGAGCAGUGGCUCCAGUUGGGAGUGGCCCAGGGUCUUUCUGCGGCCUGGCAGGACAGGGUGGCCACUGCCCGUGGCUGGCCCAGAAGAGUCCACCUUGUGGGUCAAGAGCUGCCCAGGCUGAUAUGUGCCUUAAAAAGCGGGGAUGAAAGCCAGGCAGUGUACAGCAAACCCAGGCACCUCCUCAGCCAUGCAAAUGGGAGCUGGUGACAUGGGCUCAGGAACUGCCGCUUCUGACCCAGCCCAGGCAAAUGUGGCCCAAUUCUCUGUUCCCUUGGAGCUGAGCCCACUUGUAGCCAUGCCAGGCCCGGAGUCUCCCUCAGUGGCUGCUGGCAGUUGAUCGCAGCUGCCCUCAGAGCCUCAGCUGCCUCUCCUGUGCUGCGUCCUCCCUAACGGGCUUUCAGAUUGGUUGUC
Molecule: long non-coding RNA, 6255 nt
Organism: Pongo pygmaeus (Bornean orangutan)
Lineage: Eukaryota; Metazoa; Chordata; Mammalia; Primates; Hominidae
Exons: 4
Source: RefSeq, a predicted model, not a curated record